Capsella rubella is the source of this 665-nucleotide long non-coding RNA. RefSeq lists it as uncharacterized. The record is from RefSeq and is a predicted model, not a curated record. Lineage: Eukaryota; Viridiplantae; Streptophyta; Magnoliopsida; Brassicales; Brassicaceae. The transcript has 2 exons.
GUAUAUAUAUGUGUGUGUGUGUGUGUGUGUGUGUGUGUGUGUGUGUGUGUGUGUGUGUGAAGUAUUUUGUUUGCAUAAUUUCUUAACCUAAUAAAGAAAAACAAGUUCUGAAUUGUAGAUGGAAGAUCCUCUUCUAGAACGCGAAAACAUAUUUAAACGGGGAAUCAUAUUCAUCGCCAAGUAUGUCAAAUUUGUUUGGAAAGAAGUCUACUCAAGAAUCAUACAUAUCAUACUCGUCACCGCAUAUGCACUGCUAAUUUUUCUGAUUUACUCUAGAUAUGGCUUCUCUAUGAAUAUGUUAGGUGGUACAAUUUCCUUCAUCAUCCUAGGCCUAACUUCAACUUUAGUUGAAGUAUUAUUCAUAUUGUCUAGGCAACCCAUGAUAUAUGUUAACGCAGCUGGACAUUUUACGUUUUUGGUCGGAUUUCUUAUCCUUACCCCUUUCGUGUUCCAAUCCAAUAGUCAUGUGAUUUGGGUGUAUACUCUUGUUGGGAUAUUAUUUGGAUGUUGGUGUAUUUUCUUUCUACUCCUUAUUUUCCUUAUACGCACUUUUCUUGAAGAUGAUUUCUUAUACCAGCCAAUAAUGAUGUAAUUUAGUAUCAACAUUUUAUAUAUAAUGUAUGUUUAAUAUGUUUGUAAGGUUAAUAUAAUAUUAGCUAUAUCAA